Molecule: ribosomal RNA, 2928 nt
Filed under: Bacillus velezensis
Lineage: Bacteria; Bacillati; Bacillota; Bacilli; Caryophanales; Bacillaceae
Description: 23S ribosomal RNA
Rfam family: Bacterial large subunit ribosomal RNA
Source: RNAcentral
GGUUAAGUUAGAAAGGGCGCACGGUGGAUGCCUUGGCACUAGGAGCCGAUGAAGGACGGGACGAACACCGAUAUGCUUCGGGGAGCUGUAAGCAAGCUUUGAUCCGGAGAUUUCCGAAUGGGGAAACCCACCACUCGUAAUGGAGUGGUAUCCAUAUCUGAAUACAUAGGAUAUGAGAAGGCAGACCCGGGGAACUGAAACAUCUAAGUACCCGGAGGAAGAGAAAGCAAAUGCGAUUCCCUGAGUAGCGGCGAGCGAAACGGGACCAGCCCAAACCAAGAGGCUUGCCUCUUGGGGUUGUAGGACACUCUGUACGGAGUUACAAAGGAACGAGGUAGAUGAAGAGGUCUGGAAAGGCCCGCCAUAGAAGGUAACAGCCCUGUAGUCAAAACUUCGUUCUCUCCUGAGUGGAUCCUGAGUACGGCGGAACACGUGAAAUUCCGUCGGAAUCCGGGAGGACCAUCUCCCAAGGCUAAAUACUCCCUAGUGACCGAUAGUGAACCAGUACCGUGAGGGAAAGGUGAAAAGCACCCCGGAAGGGGAGUGAAAGAGAUCCUGAAACCGUGUGCCUACAAGUAGUCAGAGCCCGUUAACGGGUGAUGGCGUGCCUUUUGUAGAAUGAACCGGCGAGUUACGAUCCCGUGCAAGGUUAAGCAGAAGAUGCGGAGCCGCAGCGAAAGCGAGUCUGAAUAGGGCGAAUGAGUACGUGGUCGUAGACCCGAAACCAGGUGAUCUACCCAUGUCCAGGGUGAAGUUCAGGUAACACUGAAUGGAGGCCCGAACCCACGCACGUUGAAAAGUGCGGGGAUGAGGUGUGGGUAGGGGUGAAAUGCCAAUCGAACCUGGAGAUAGCUGGUUCUCUCCGAAAUAGCUUUAGGGCUAGCCUCAAGGUAAGAGUCUCGGAGGUAGAGCACUGAUUGGACUAGGGGCCCCUACCGGGUUACCGAAUUCAGUCAAACUCCGAAUGCCGAUGACUUAUCCUUGGGAGUCAGACUGCGAGUGAUAAGAUCCGUAGUCGAAAGGGAAACAGCCCAGACCGCCAGCUAAGGUCCCAAAGUAUACGUUAAGUGGAAAAGGAUGUGGAGUUGCUUAGACAACCAGGAUGUUGGCUUAGAAGCAGCCACCAUUUAAAGAGUGCGUAAUAGCUCACUGGUCGAGUGACUCUGCGCCGAAAAUGUACCGGGGCUAAACGUAUCACCGAAGCUGCGGACUGUUCUUCGAACAGUGGUAGGAGAGCGUUCUAAGGGCUGUGAAGCAAGACCGGAAGGACUUGUGGAGCGCUUAGAAGUGAGAAUGCCGGUAUGAGUAGCGAAAGAGGGGUGAGAAUCCCCUCCACCGAAUGCCUAAGGUUUCCUGAGGAAGGCUCGUCCGCUCAGGGUUAGUCGGGACCUAAGCCGAGGCCGAAAGGCGUAGGCGAUGGAUAACAGGUUGAUAUUCCUGUACCACCUCCUCACCAUUUGAGCAAUGGGGGACGCAGGAGGAUAGGGUAAGCGCGGUAUUGGAUAUCCGCGUCCAAGCAGUUAGGCUGGGAAAUAGGCAAAUCCGUUUCCCGUGAAGGCUGAGCUGUGAUGGCGAGCGAAUUAUAGUAGCGAAGUUCCUGAUUCCACACUGCCAAGAAAAGCCUCUAGCGAGGUGAGAGGUGCCCGUACCGCAAACCGACACAGGUAGGCGAGGAGAGAAUCCUAAGGUGAUCGAGAGAACUCUCGUUAAGGAACUCGGCAAAAUGACCCCGUAACUUCGGGAGAAGGGGUGCUCUGUUAGGGUGCAAGCCCGAGAGAGCCGCAGUGAAUAGGCCCAGGCGACUGUUUAGCAAAAACACAGGUCUCUGCGAAGCCGUAAGGCGAAGUAUAGGGGCUGACGCCUGCCCGGUGCUGGAAGGUUAAGAGGAGCGCUUAGCGUAAGCGAAGGUGCGAAUUGAAGCCCCAGUAAACGGCGGCCGUAACUAUAACGGUCCUAAGGUAGCGAAAUUCCUUGUCGGGUAAGUUCCGACCCGCACGAAAGGCGCAACGAUCUGGGCACUGUCUCAACGAGAGACUCGGUGAAAUUAUAGUACCUGUGAAGAUGCAGGUUACCCGCGACAGGACGGAAAGACCCCGUGGAGCUUUACUGCAGCCUGAUAUUGAAUGUUGGUACAGCUUGUACAGGAUAGGUAGGAGCCUUGGAAACCGGAGCGCCAGCUUCGGUGGAGGCAUCGGUGGGAUACUACCCUGGCUGUAUUGACCUUCUAACCCGCCGCCCUUAUCGGGCGGGGAGACAGUGUCAGGUGGGCAGUUUGACUGGGGCGGUCGCCUCCUAAAAGGUAACGGAGGCGCCCAAAGGUUCCCUCAGAAUGGUUGGAAAUCAUUCGCAGAGUGUAAAGGCACAAGGGAGCUUGACUGCGAGACCUACAAGUCGAGCAGGGACGAAAGUCGGGCUUAGUGAUCCGGUGGUUCCGCAUGGAAGGGCCAUCGCUCAACGGAUAAAAGCUACCCCGGGGAUAACAGGCUUAUCUCCCCCAAGAGUCCACAUCGACGGGGAGGUUUGGCACCUCGAUGUCGGCUCAUCGCAUCCUGGGGCUGUAGUCGGUCCCAAGGGUUGGGCUGUUCGCCCAUUAAAGCGGUACGCGAGCUGGGUUCAGAACGUCGUGAGACAGUUCGGUCCCUAUCCGUCGCGGGCGCAGGAAAUUUGAGAGGAGCUGUCCUUAGUACGAGAGGACCGGGAUGGACGCACCGCUGGUGUACCAGUUGUUCUGCCAAGGGCAUCGCUGGGUAGCUAUGUGCGGACGGGAUAAGUGCUGAAAGCAUCUAAGCAUGAAGCCCCCCUCAAGAUGAGAUUUCCCAUUCCGCAAGGAAGUAAGAUCCCUGAAAGAUGAUCAGGUUGAUAGGUCUGAGGUGGAAGUGUGGCGACACAUGGAGCUGACAGAUACUAAUCGAUCGAGGACUUAACCAA